RNAcentral lists this ribosomal RNA (482 nucleotides) under uncultured Saprospiraceae bacterium. RNAcentral's name for it is "bacterial SSU rRNA". It matches the Rfam family "Bacterial small subunit ribosomal RNA", at positions 28 to 505 of the family's 1533-position model. Lineage: Bacteria; Pseudomonadati; Bacteroidota; Saprospiria; Saprospirales; Saprospiraceae. The record is from RNAcentral.
GAUGAACGCUAGCGGGAGGCUUAAUACAUGCAAGUCGCGGGGUAACGAUGGACUUCGGUUCAGGCGACGACCGGCGCACGGGUGAGUAACGCGUACACGACCUACCUUACACUGAGGGAUAGCCCUGGGAAACUGGGAUUAAUACCUCAUGGCAUUAGAUUAUUGCGAUGAUCUAAUUAAAGGUUUCGACUGGUGUAAGAUGGGUGUGCGUUAGAUUAGCUAGUUGGUAAGGUAACGGCUUACCAAGGCGACGAUCUAUAGGGGGCGUGAGAGCGUGGACCCCCACACGGGUACUGAGACACGGACCCGACUCCUACGGGAGGCAGCAGUAAGGAAUAUUGGACAAUGGGGGCAACCCUGAUCCAGCCAUCCCGCGUGCAGGAAGACGGCCCUAUGGGUUGUAAACUGCUUUUAGAAGGGAAGAAAAUUACUCAUUUAUGAGUAACUGACGGUACCUUCAGAAUAAGCACCGGCUAACUCCG